Molecule: unclassified non-coding RNA, 345 nt
Filed under: soil metagenome
Description: partial contains 5.8S ribosomal RNA, internal transcribed spacer 2, and large subunit ribosomal RNA
Rfam family: 5.8S ribosomal RNA (bases 1-120)
Source: RNAcentral
GAUGAAGAACGCAGUGAAAUGCGACAAGUAAUGUGAAUUGCAGAAUUCCGUGAAUCAUCGAAUCUUUGAACGCACAUUGCGCCCCCUGGUAUUCCGGGGGGCAUGCCUGUCCGAGCGUCAUUGCUGCCCUCAAGCACGGCUUGUGUGUUGGGCCUCCGUCCUCCUCCCGGGGGACGGGCCCGAAAGGCAGCGGCGGCACCGCGUCCGGUCCUCGAGCGUAUGGGGCUUCGUCACCCGCUCUUGUAGGCCCGGCCGGCGCUUGCCGACACAUCAAUCUUUUUUCCAGGUUGACCUCGGAUCAGGUAGGGAUACCCGCUGAACUUAAGCAUAUCAAUAAGCGGAGGA